UGAGUUCUCCCUGAGACUUAGAGUCUCCUGAAGGAACGUUGAAGACGACGACGUUGAUAGGCCGGGUGUGUAAGCGCAGCGAUGCGUUGAGCUAACCGGUACUAAUGAACCGUGAGGCUUAACCUUACAACGCCGAAG
RNAcentral lists this ribosomal RNA (138 nucleotides) under Salmonella enterica subsp. enterica serovar Infantis. RNAcentral's name for it is "partial 23S ribosomal RNA". It matches the Rfam family "Bacterial large subunit ribosomal RNA", at positions 2805 to 2925 of the family's 2925-position model. The record is from RNAcentral. RNAcentral also lists the same sequence under 49 other names. Lineage: Bacteria; Pseudomonadati; Pseudomonadota; Gammaproteobacteria; Enterobacterales; Enterobacteriaceae.